RNA transcript from Vitis riparia (riverbank grape), 3839 nucleotides. It is a transcript of the gene named pentatricopeptide repeat-containing protein At3g04760, chloroplastic, with no coding region annotated. The record is from RefSeq and is a predicted model, not a curated record. NCBI's taxonomy places the organism in Eukaryota, Viridiplantae, Streptophyta, Magnoliopsida, Vitales, Vitaceae. The transcript has 3 exons.
UGGGGGACUUAAGUUAGCCCAUUGUACAGAAGGUGCGUGCAAGGCCAAGUUUAUGCAUGCAUAGAAGGAAAAUUGAUUGUUCGUUGGAAGAGGAUUAAAGGCUUGAAGUUUGAUAGUGGAGUCUUCUACCGUCGAUUCAUGUGGUAUUAACGUAAGCUUCGUGACUUGAAUAAAAAAUUUCGGCCGUUAAAAUGCUCUUUAAUUUCAAAUUUCGCUCCAGAAUCAGAGAAACCCUUGCUAACCCUCAUAAAUUUAGGGAUUUAUUUGAAUUUCGUGCAUGUGUAAUUGGCGUUGAGGUUGGACCUGCUUGUAAACCCAGAAGUUCUUUCCAAUUUCCCAGUUAUGUACUUAACACAUUUUUCUCGUCAUUAUCAUCCAGAAACCCUAAUCCUAGUUCUCAUUCAAACCCUAGUUUAUAUGGCGAGAGAGACGAUUUUGAUGCCAUCGGAGAAGGGAGUGACAGAUUUAAGCAAAUGGGUUUUGGGGAAUCUAGGGAUUUAGGCCACUUUGGAAGCGGGCUUGAUGAUUUGGAUGAUAAUGAAGAAUCGAGUGAUAUAGAAGAAGGUGGUAAUGACCAUAAUGAUGACGAUUUAAUGGUUUUGAAUUCAUUUACUGGAGGUUACAGACAAACAGAAGGUAUUAGAAGAUUCGAGGGAGGUGAAGAUGAAUCUAGACAUCCUUUGGUAAGAGAAAUAUGUAGGUUAAUUGAACUUCGAUCAGCCUGGAAUCCGAAGCUUGAGGGGGAAUUGAGGCAUUUGCUAAGGAGCCUGAAGCCCAGGCAAGUUUGUGCAGUUUUGCAAUUGCAGACUGAUGAGCGGGUUGCUUUGAGAUUCUUCUACUGGGCUGACCGGCAAUGGCGGUACCGGCAUGAUCCCAUUGUGUACUAUGCAAUGCUUGAGAUUCUAAGCAAGACAAAAUUGUGUCAGGGGGCAAAGCGGGUUCUUCGACUUAUGGCUAAGAGGAGAAUUGAGCGCCGGCCUGAAGCAUUUGGUUAUGUGAUGGUGUCAUAUAGUCGGGCAGGCAAGUUGAGGAAUGCAAUGCGGGUUUUAACUAUGAUGCAGAAAGCAGGAAUUGAACCUGAUUUGUCAAUAUGUAAUACUGCAAUUCAUGUUUUGGUAAUGGGAAAUAGGCUGGACAAGGCAGUGAGGUUCCUGGAACGAAUGCAAAUUGUUGAGAUUGCACCUAAUGUUAUCACCUAUAACUGCUUGAUUAAGGGGUAUUGUGAUUUGCAUCGACUUGAGGAUGCAAUGGAACUGAUUGCUGAAAUGCCUUUUAAAGGUUGCUCUCCUGACAAAAUUAGUUACUAUACUGUGAUGGGUUUUCUUUGUAAGGAAAAAAGGAUUAAAGAAGUGAGACUGUUGAUGGAGAAGAUGUUGAAGGAUAGUAAUUUGUUACCGGACCAGGUUACAUAUAACACUCUUGUCCAUAUGCUCUCCAAGCAUGGCCAUGGGGAUGAGGCUCUUGAAUUUUUAAGGGAAGCAGAAGAGAGGAGAUUUCGGGUUGAUAAGGUUGGGUAUAGUGCUAUAGUUCACUCCUUCUGUCAGGAAGGAAGAAUGGACAAGGCUAAAGAAAUAGUGAAUGAAAUGUUUUCUAAGGGUUGCAUUCCUGAUGUAGUCACCUACACUUCUGUUAUCAAUGGGUUGUGUCAGGAAAGGAAGGUGGAUCAAGCUAAAAAGAUGCUUCGGCAAAUGUACAAGCAUGGUUGCAAGCCAAAUACUGUAUCAUACACAGCUUUGUUAAAUGGGCUUUGUAAGAAUGGGAACUCAUUGGAGGCAAGAGAGAUGAUGAACAUGAGUGAGGAGGAGUGGUGGAUUCCAAAUGCUAUCACAUACAGCGUAUUGAUGCAUGGGUUUCGCAGGGAAGGGAAAUUGUCUGAGGCCUGUGAUUUGGUCAGGGAGAUGAUUAAAAAGGGUUUCUUUCCAACACCAGUUGAAAUUAAUUUACUGAUUCAGUCUCUCUGCCAAGAGGAAAAGGUGGAUGAGGCAAAAAGGUUCAUGGAGCAGUGUCUGAACAAUGGAUGUGCUGUCAAUGUGGUAAACUUUACUACUGUAAUUCAUGGGUUUUGUCAAAAGGAUGACUUGGAAGCUGCUCUCUCAUUGCUUGAUGAUAUGUAUCUAAGUAACAAACAUCCAGAUGCAGUUACAUAUACAACCAUAAUUGAUGCACUGGGAAAGAAAGGUAGAAUAGAAGAAGCAACUAAACUUGCAAUGAAGAUGCUUCGGGUGGGUUUGAUUCCUACUCCUGUCACAUAUCGGACAGUUAUCCACCAGUAUUGUCGGAUGGGUAGGGUGGAAGAUUUGUUGAAGUUAUUAGAGAAGAUGCUUUCAAGGCAAGAAUGCAGGACAGCAUAUAAUCAAGUUAUUGAAAAGCUUUGUAGUUUUGGAAACCUCGAGCAGGCCUAUAAACUCCUGGGCAAGGUUCUCAGGACAGCUUCAAAAAUCGAUGCCAAUACUUGCCACAUGCUUAUUGAAAGUUAUUUGAGCAAAGGGAUUCCUUUGAUGUCAUAUAAUGUGGCUUGUCGAAUGUUCAAUCGGAAUCUGAUUCCUGAUCUGAAGCUGUGUGAGAAGGUGAGCAAGAAACUAAUGUUAGAGGGAAAAUCAGAGGAGGCAGAUAAGCUUAUUUUGCGGUUUGUUGAACGUGGUCGCAUUUCACCUCAGUGUCAGCUGGAUUUAUAGAGCUAGGACAGCAUGUCAAUUUUCUUGAGAUGCUGAUGGAUGUGAUCUGGGAAUGCUGAGCUGUAGUCUUGUUUGCUGUAAUAUGUUUUUGGAGAUAUGAUUGUUGGUAAUCUCUGUAAUUUGGUGAACACAAGGAAUGGAUGCUCUGUAAUUGAGUUGACUACCACAUAAGAGAGUGGUACAAUUUUUAUACUCAAUCACGUCUCAAAUGCAUAGUGUACAGAAAAUUUAAACACCAUUUUCAUGCUUUACACCUGGAAAGUCUCAGACAUGAUGCAGGCAUAAAAAUUUAGAUACCAUCCCUAUCUUUACAACUUGGAUAUACCUUGAGCACCCUCUUGGCUUUUGCUAUGCCAAGCAUCAAGUGAUGCAAAUUGAACUGGGUUUGCCGUUGGAGAGAAUUCAAGGCUUCCACAGUAGGAUAGUAGGUUUUAAACCUUACAUUUUCAAGGUUUGACUAGCAAACAAGUGUGGGAGCAUGGAGGUUGGGGAUUGCUUUGGAGGAAAAGAGUUCUGCUAGAUUGGUGCAGGGGCUUGAGAAUCUUGUGGUAGAAGUUGAUGUUGAUAUUUUUGACAUUAUUUGAGGCCAUAAUUGGAAAUGGGACCGGAACUCUUGAUCGUUAAAAGUCAUUAGCGAGCUUCUUGACAGAGAGUCAGCAGUGCUACUGGCAGACAAAGCUUUGCCGAGAUGGAGAUGGAUUUGAUCUUGAGGUUCAGGACACAUUUCUCUCUCUCUCUCCCUCAGAGUCUAGCUGGGCAUGCAUUAUAGUUGAAGCAAGUGAAAUUGUGAAAACAAAGGAUGCUUUGUUGUUAACUACUCAUGAAGGGCAACAACAAAAUCUUGUAAAAAAAGAAAAGAGAAAAAGGAAAAGAAGGAGAGCAAAGCAAUGGUGGGGUUAUGACUAUGCUUUUGCUUUUGCAUUGAGGAGAUAAAAAAAAAAAAGGGUCUUAUGUUGAAAGACACCAUAUGGAACCUUCUAACAUGUCUGCUUCAUGGCCGACCCAUCCUCUGCUAAAGAUGCCACUGUUUCUUCUUCAGUAUCCAUCAUGCUUGCCUGUACUAAAUAUACCCCUAUUUUUUUAUUCAUAUUCUAUGGAUUUUUUUCAUGCUUCUCUCAUUACUAUCAUUCAUAUAUAUUGUAUGUACUUUCUGGGUUGUAAUUA